This 292-nucleotide ribosomal RNA is filed under the name uncultured bacterium. RNAcentral's name for it is "partial 16S ribosomal RNA". It matches the Rfam family "Bacterial small subunit ribosomal RNA", at positions 505 to 796 of the family's 1533-position model. The record is from RNAcentral.
GUGUCAGCAGCCGCGGUAAGACAGAGGCCCCAAGCGUUAGGCGGAAUCACUGGGCUUAAAGCGUGUGUAGGCGGACGCCUAAGUGUCUUGUGAAAUCCCACGGCUCACCCGUGGAACUGCUGGGCAUACUGGGCGUCUUGGGCCAACUAGGGGCAGCCGGAACAAGCGGUGGAGCGGUGAAAUGCGUAGAUAUCGCUUGGAACGCCGAAGGUGAAAACAGGCUGCUGGGGUUGUGCCGACGCUGAGACACGAAAGCCAGGGGAGCAAACGGGAUUAGAUACCCCAGUAGUCC